AGUGAACGCUGGCGGUAGGCCUAACACAUGCAAGUCGAACGGCAGCACAGUAAGAGCUUGCUCUUACGGGUGGCGAGUGGCGGACGGGUGGGGAAUACAUCGGAAUCUACUUUUUCGGGGGGGAUAACGUAGGGAAACUUACGCUAAUACCGAAUACAACCUACGGGAGAAAGCAGGGGAUCUUCGGACCUUGCGCGAUUGAAUGAGCCGAUGUCGGAUUCGCUAGUUGGCGGGGUAAAGGCCCACCAAGGCGACGAUCCGUAGCGGGUCCGAGAGGAUGAUCAGCCACACUGGAACUGAGACACGGUCCAGACUCCUACGGGAGGCAGCAGUGGGGAAUAUUGGACAAUGGGCGCAAGCCUGAUCCAGCCAUACCGCGUGGGUGAAGAAGGCCUUCGGGUUGUAAAGCUCUUUUGUUGGGAAAGAAAAGCAGCAUGUUAAUCCCCCGCUGUUCUGACGGUACCCAAAGAAUAAGCACCGGCUAACUUCGUG
Molecule: ribosomal RNA, 492 nt
Filed under: uncultured bacterium
Lineage: Bacteria
Description: partial 16S ribosomal RNA
Rfam family: Bacterial small subunit ribosomal RNA
Source: RNAcentral